CCGUUGAAUGUUGUUCUGGUUCUUUCUGAUUUUCCUCAACUUCAGUAACCACAGGUUCACCUUUUACUGUUUCUGUAGGCUCAACUUCAGUAGCCACAGGUUCUUCUUUUACCGUUUCUGUAGCUUGAACUUCAGUAGCCACAGGUUCUUCUUUUACCAUUUCUCUAGGAUCAACUUCAGUAACCACAGGUUUGACUUUUACUGAUUCUGUCAGAUCAACUUCAGUAACCAGGGGUUCUUUUACUGUUUUUGUAAUUUCAACUUCUGUAGCCACAGCUUCUUCUUUUACUGUCUCUGUAGGAUCAACUUCAGUAACUAUAGGUUCGUCUUUUACCGUUUCUGUUGCCUCGAAUUCAGUAGCUGCAGGUUCAUCUUUUACCAUUUCUGUAGGCUCAACUACAGUUGUCACAGGUUCUUCUUUUACGGUUUCUGUAGCUUCAACUUCAGUAGCCACAGAUUCUUCUUUUACUGUUUCUGUAGCUUCAACUUCAGUAGCCACUGGUUCUUCUUUUACUGUUUCUGUAGCUUCAACUUCAGUAGCCACUGGUUCUUCUUUUACUGUUUCUGUAGCUUCAACUUCAGUAGCUGCAGGUUCGUCUUUUACCGUUUCUGUAGCCUCAACUUCAGUUGCCACAGGUUCUUCUUUUACCGUUUCUGUAGGCUCAACUUCAGUAGCCACGGGUUCUUCUUUUACUGUUUCUGUAGCUUCAGCUUCAGUAGCUAGAGGUUCUUCUUUUACCGUUUCUGUAGGAUCAACUUCAGUAACCACAGGUUCGUCUUUUACGGUUUCUGUAACCUUAACUUCAGUAGCUGCAGGUUCUUCUUUUACUGUUUCCGUAGCCUCAACUUCAGUAGCCACAAGUUCUUCUUUUAGUGUUUCUGUAGCCUCAACUUCAGUAACCACGGGUUCUUCUUUUACUAUCUCUGCAGUCGCAACUUCGGUAACCAUGGGUUCUUCUUUCACUGUUUCUGUAGGCUCCACUUCGAUGAUUUUGGUCUCUUCCGAUAUCGCUGCUGCUGUCUUCUCCUCAUUGGCCUCGACUGUAGAUUCAACAAUUGCAAUUGCUUUUGGUUG
This 1075-nucleotide long non-coding RNA is filed under the name Medicago truncatula (barrel medic). Its description in RNAcentral is "long non-coding RNA (MTRU_LNC006373)". The record is from RNAcentral. Lineage: Eukaryota; Viridiplantae; Streptophyta; Magnoliopsida; Fabales; Fabaceae.